UUGAAGUUCGUGUAUGUUCCAUUAGAAAGUUGAACGGGAUUCUCUAAAUCGAUUACUCUAUUUGUUCUUUCACGAUUUUUUUAGGCAUUGUGCGUCAAACGCGAUAAUCUCUAUCGGCCAUCGCUUAAGAAGAAAAGAUAAACAAGAAAACUAGAAAAAAUGAACUGGCGUGUAAGGGAACAGGAAAAACUUAAUCCGGGGAAAAAGAUAUUACUGAAGAAGAAGAAAAGCAGAUUAGCUUGAACGCAAUACCCAUUAAUGCAAUCACCCAUCCCAACCAACAAUCUGCCUGGGAUUUCCUGGCACGGGAACACCUUCACCUGGUAGAGCAGCGCCUGGAACGGGAGCGCCUGUCGAAUAUAGGUGCUUUACUGAAAAAGCACGCAUCACCUGUACCUGAUUUUCAAGUAACAGAACUGGAUGAUAAUUGAUUUAAAAUUCAAGGGACAUUCAACACCACCGAGUAUGAAACGUCACGCCAAGAGGUGAAAUUUAAGCUCAACCACAUUUGUCCGGGGCUCUUUUCCUUUCAUCUUUCCCGGACGUCCUACCAACCGAACCAACUCGGUGCUGAUUGCGAAACUUCCAGAUCCAGCUUUGAAUUUAUGGUUGAACUCUCCUUAACACGAUGACGUGUUCUCCAAGGAGCUCACCUCUCGUUUGCUGUGAGUAUAGUCACCGUAAGCUAACUGCUGUUUGGGCCAGCAUCAACGCAAGUCCGACAUUCUUUUUGAAGCCGAUCUCUCCAGGUCAAUGGAAGUCCGCAAAAAGGCCUUUUGGAUCUCAACGUUUUGAGUUGAAGCAAACAAAGAUCCCUUGCGUGCUGUGGAUUAACUUUUCAAGAACUUAUGGCGAGAUGAACGCACAGAUGCAAUUCGUGAGUUUGUACGUCAAUCAGUUGAACUGCGAUGUUACAUUCCAUUUCGACGCAGCCGAAACAGACGAGUCAAUCGGUGGUCAUGUCGCUAUUUUGUCGGUCAUGUAAUCCACCUGCAUUGGCAUGAAAAAAAAAUCCGUUUUCUUUUUAGCAAGUGAGAAGGAAGGGGAUAGAAACUAACGUUUACUAAAAUGGAAGCGGCACAAACCUUUUCUAAUUCUUAGACUACCACUAGUGCUCGACUGCCACAUAAAAGUUCAAGACUUCAAGCGUAAACAAAACAGAAAAAAAGCCUAAUACAUCUUUUAUUAAUAAUGA
RNAcentral lists this long non-coding RNA (1195 nucleotides) under Daphnia magna. RNAcentral's name for it is "uncharacterized LOC116927683". The record is from RNAcentral. Lineage: Eukaryota; Metazoa; Arthropoda; Branchiopoda; Diplostraca; Daphniidae.